RNAcentral lists this long non-coding RNA (490 nucleotides) under Physcomitrium patens. RNAcentral's name for it is "long non-coding RNA (PPAT_LNC011358)". The record is from RNAcentral. Lineage: Eukaryota; Viridiplantae; Streptophyta; Bryopsida; Funariales; Funariaceae.
AACUUGGAGUAAUUGAUAGUCAUGUGGUAUUAUAAGAUGCUAUAGUACACAUUGAAGAUAAGAGCUUGGCCAAAAAAGUAAAGCCUAUGGCAAUCCAAUUACAUCAAGAUACCAAAGAAUAUAUUAAAUGAGCGAUUAUAGAAUUGAGAUUGACAGAGUUAAGAAGGAUUAAUCAUAAGUUUAUUAAAGAGACUUUGGAUAAGUUGAAGAUUAGAAGAAAUGAAUUUUUGAUCAAAGUGAAAAAAAAAGUUUCUAAAGAUGCUAUCCAAAUAUAAUGGCAUUAACAAGGAGAGAUUUUUUGAACUUCAAAUUCACCAAUUAGAGAGAUUGCCCAAUAAUCAUCAAAUUGCUAUAGAGAGGCUUAAAACAAUAAGGUUGAAUAAUAAAGAGAGGUUUGAUAAAACUCACCAAUUGAGGCCUAAAUGAAUUAAAGAAGAUUACUGAAUUUUGAUUUAUGAUAGUAAUUUGAUGCACAAAUAUUCUACUCUUU